RNAcentral lists this ribosomal RNA (773 nucleotides) under Staphylococcus pseudintermedius. RNAcentral's name for it is "partial 23S ribosomal RNA". It matches the Rfam family "Bacterial large subunit ribosomal RNA", at positions 461 to 1240 of the family's 2925-position model. Lineage: Bacteria; Bacillati; Bacillota; Bacilli; Caryophanales; Staphylococcaceae. The record is from RNAcentral.
UAAGGCUAAAUACUCUCUAGUGACCGAUAGUGAACCAGUACCGUGAGGGAAAGGUGAAAAGUACCCCGGAAGGGGAGUGAAAGAGAACUUGAAACCGUGUGCUUACAAGUAGUCAGAGCCCGUUAAUGGGUGAUGGCGUGCCUUUUGUAGAAUGAACCGGCGAGUUACGAUCUGAUGCAAGGUUAAGCAGAAAAUGUGGAGCCGUAGCGAAAGCGAGUCUGAAUAGGGCGAAUGAGUAUUUGGUCGUAGACCCGAAACCAGGUGAUCUACCCUUGGUCAGGUUGAAGUUCAGGUAACACUGAAUGGAGGACCGAACCGACUUACGUUGAAAAGUGAGCGGAUGAACUGAGGGUAGCGGAGAAAUUCCAAUCGAACUUGGAGAUAGCUGGUUCUCUCCGAAAUAGCUUUAGGGCUAGCCUCAAGUGAUGAUUAUUGGAGGUAGAGCACUGUUUGGACGAGGGGCCCCUCUCGGGUUACCGAAUUCAGACAAACUCCGAAUGCCAAAUAAUUUAACUUGGGAGUCAGAAUGUGGGUGAUAAGGUCCAUAUUCGAAAGGGAAACAGCCCAGACCACCAGCUAAGGUCCCAAAAUAUAUGUUAAGUGGAAAAGGAUGUGGCGUUGCCCAGACAACUAGGAUGUUGGCUUAGAAGCAGCCAUCAUUUAAAGAGUGCGUAAUAGCUCACUAGUCGAGUGACACUGCGCCGAAAAUGUACCGGGGCUAAACAUAUUACCGAAGCUGUGGAUUGUCCUUUGGACAAUGGUAGGAGAGCGUU